This 3788-nucleotide long non-coding RNA is filed under the name Oryza sativa (Asian cultivated rice). RNAcentral describes it as "long non-coding RNA (OSAT_LNC001409)". Lineage: Eukaryota; Viridiplantae; Streptophyta; Magnoliopsida; Poales; Poaceae. The record is from RNAcentral.
AUGCAUUUGAGAAAUGUAUGAACGCUAGCAUCCUUGCUCCAAAGAAGUUGAACCUCACCAAUUUUGCCAUGGAAUCCCUCGAAUCAGACUCAAGGAAGAAGCAGCUGUGCGGGGUUCGAAUUCUGUAUAGCCUUGUGAACAGAGAGCCCUAUGACAAACAAGUCCUGUCAAAAGUCACAACUCCAUGAAGACGGUCACCACACUGAUCCAAAUGCUGGGAUGGACUAACCAAGAAGACAAUCAAAUUAGAUUGCUUGCCGCGAAGAUUACAGCUGAGCUUGCUAGAGGUCUCCAGAUUGUCACAAUCCCUGGUGCAAUGAACUCCAUAUCAUCACUUCUGGACAACCAGAACAAACAGCAGAUACAGGAACUCAUAAUUCAGAAAGACAGUGGUGGUGAGGAGAAUUGCUGGAUACUCAAACUUUGGCAUCAGAUGACUAAAAAGUGGUCCAUUCUAGAGGAGGAGCAGUGGACAGAAACUGAUGUUUUCCUGGUACUUGGCCUUGUAACUCUUGAGAGGCUAGCUACAUAUGAUAUUGUCAACUGCAUGGAGAUCAGCAGAUCAAUGGACCUCAUCCCAAAGAUCACAGAGUUCACGAGUAACAACAGUGAGAGAAUAUGUGUCAAUGAGACAAGUCAGAAAAUACUGAUUGAUUUGUCAUUGAAGGUGCUGAGAAGACUGGCAAGCAUUGGUGGGGAAACUGGUAUAACAUUGAGGCACAAGAUAUCAGAAGAUCCCUUCCUACUUGGCAACCUUGCUGAGAUUUUGGAGGAUAGCAAGAGCAGUCAGGAACUGAGGAAGUUGACAAUAGAUAUCCUUAUAAAACUUGCCAUGGAUGAGACUACAAAGAGAGAGAUUGGGAGCAUCCAGGUGAUUGUUCAGAUGUUGAUGUUUGCAUUCACUGCGCAAGAUGAUCUGCCAGGUGCAUAUUCUGACUGCUCGAUGACAAUGAAAGCAGGACAAGCAUUGUCAAUGCUAACACUAGAAAGUGCAGACAACUGCUCAGCUAUCAUGAAGGAACCUGGGCAUAGAUUCUUUAAGGAUGUGGCAAGAAUGCUAGUGCAUGACAACAGGUACAUACAUGUUGCAGCAAAUGUACUGCAAAACCUGUGCAAACACUCUAGAGUUGAGCUAGGAGAUUCAGUUUUGGUGGAACUUUCCAGUGUCCUACUAGAGGUGAGAUCUCCACCUAUGUAUGAUAAUAUUUGGCAUAUUUUUUUUAAAAAAAAACAAUGAGAAGCACAGGAGGGCUUUGGCCCCAUUCUAAACUACAACUUUCUCGUCUUCCGUUAGCACGCUUCCCAAAUUGUUAAACGGUGUGUCUUUUGUACAAGAUUUCUAUAUAAAAGUUUCUUAAAUAAAUUAAAUAAAUCCAAUUUUCAAGCUUGCAAUAAUUAAUACUUGACUAAUCAUGCGUUAUUGACUUGUCUCGAUUCGCAUGCCGCAAAAAAAGGUUGUCCCAAACAUAUUUUGUAUGAAGAAGGGGCUGAGAAACCAAAAUUUUAGCUUCUUAUUUAGGAUAUCUGUUUUCACCAGAUAUUUGAUUCUAGAGUCUAACUUACAUGAUGCUGCGUUAUACCGUCUACAGGUGUUGGGACAAGUAAUGGAUGCAGAGGGAAAAGAACUCGAGGUCCUUGUUGGCCUCAGUUCACAAAUAUGCAGGGUUAGUCCUAAAAGCUUUUCAAAAGCGCUAGAACAGGGUCAGAAGGAGGCAAGAUUCGUGGAGAAGCUAAUCAAUGGACUAAAUGCGAAUAUGAAACCCAAUCCACAGUUUCCAGGAAUCAGAAGUGUGAUAGUUGAGCAGUGUAUAUACAUGAUGGAGCUGAGCUCUCGUUAUGCAACAUAUUUCAGAAAUCAUGAAUUGAUGGAAGCAUUAAUAAGGGUGGAGAAGACACCAUCAAGGGCUGAAAAAUACAGGCUUUUCUUGGGCAACACAGGGCUCAUUGAGCACAGAGUGAAUCUGUCCUCUCUUGUGGAGAGGGCAAAACAGUUGAUGGCCGUGCAUUCAACUCAACAGCCUUGAGAAUCCAAUUAGAUUUUCGAUCAUAUUUACCACUAGCCUUUGGAUCAUCCUGGUCCACUAGGAUAUCUUUGUAAUUCAAAAUACUGAUUGGCCCAGAAAACACUGGUGCUAAGCUCUGGCUAAUAAUUUAUCUGUACAGUUUAAACUUGAUCCUUUUUAAAAAAGGACUAUAGAGAAAUAAACAAAACAAACAAAUGCACAUAAAGAUUCUUAGGCGCAAAAAGGAAAAAAAAAUCAAAAUUGCAUGUUUAUUUGACAUACAUCGAGUUCAAUAUUCAACAUUUGUUUUAUUCCCCAAUCAAAGUGAUCAUGUCAAUUGAACUGUUAAGCAACUAUCCCAAAUGGUGUACUGAUAAAUACUCUAUGAUUCCUAACCUAUUUUGUUUUCUUGGACUAAAUAUCAAAUAAGGCAAGUUUGGCAUAAAUGAUCCUGUAAAUAAGUGAUGAAUAAGAGAAUAUUCUGACAUUAACACGGAUGGGUCUGUUUUUUCUAAUGGUCAGGCCGUUGCCGACGUUUUAUAUAAAAGAAGAAAGUGUCUCAUUUUAAGAAAAAAAAACAUGACAAAACCUUACAAUGCACGGUAAAUUAGGGGAAACUGCACGAAAACCACAACUCACCACCAACUAACCUAAUCAGCCAUGGCAGCGAAAAUAGGAGUUACAGUACCACUAGCACCACACAGUUCUGAUGUUCGAAGUAAAUCCUGAAGUAUACCGUAUAUAUUCAGCAGAAAAACUCAACAGUUUCUGUCGCGAGCAUGGGGGACGGUUCUUGUUGACUAUAGAAGAACGGAUAUGGCUUAUCUGGUCCCUGCAGCUAGUAUAGCAAGUUCAAUUUGAGCAGGAGUGAGUGGGUCUGUGAGUGCUUCCGUCACUGCUCGUAUGAACAAGAACAACGAUGGAAGGUGAAUGGCUGGUGCACUCACUCUAUGCUCCAUGUGAAUUUGUGAAAUUUGGGUUUUGCUGCCCGAGUGGCUGGGGCCUAGUCGCUCGCCCCCGGCAGCAUCUGAUCCCACUUCCUCUUGUGAAAAUUUUUUAUAUUCAUCGUGAGGUCCAAGUGUGCGGCGCACUAGGCAGCAAAUUAAAUUAAUCCCCCAAAAUAAUAUACUACUCCCUCCGUUUACAAUAUAAGUCAUUCUAGCAUUUCUCACAUUAAUAUUGAUGCUAAUGAAUUUAGACAUGUAUAUUUAUCUAGAUUCAUUAGCAUCAAUAUGAAUGUAUAAAAUGCUAAAAUAACUUAUAUUCUAAAACGGAGAAAUUACUAAUUUGCACCGAACUAGUACUAGAAGAGAGCAAAAGCACCGCUUAAACGGUUGAACCCUAGCUAAUAUUCGGGUGCCUUUCACACACCCCCUUAAACAAAAUCGCCAAAAAUGCUUUUCAUGAUGUAUGAGGAAACCUAAGAUUUCGAGGUUGGGAAAAACCAAAUCCGCAGGAGCGGACGGGGAAUCGAGACCUAAUCUCCCCCGCGGAUCUAGGCCCCAAGCAUUUGGGCGCGGCGCGGCAAAAUUAAUACCGAAUCGAAUCGAAUUUUUUUUCGAUCGAAACCGCGAUCGAGAGGAAAAAAAAAAGGAAUGCAUCGGAGGAACACGGAAGGGAAGCAAUCGACUCACCGUGCUCCUUGCAGAGGCCAGAGCGGGGGCUCUGCGACCUGCGAGCGGUCACAUCGCAGAGAUCAUGGAGACACAGUGAAACUAAAGGCAGCCCGUCUCUCUCACAGUCUCACUCUUUAGCAAAUUUUACCAAAACGUCCAUGUGCUCUGC